Molecule: ribosomal RNA, 145 nt
Filed under: Gossypium hirsutum (cotton)
Lineage: Eukaryota; Viridiplantae; Streptophyta; Magnoliopsida; Malvales; Malvaceae
Description: 5.8S ribosomal RNA
Rfam family: 5.8S ribosomal RNA
About the family: 5.8S ribosomal RNA (5.8S rRNA) is a component of the large subunit of the eukaryotic ribosome. It is transcribed by RNA polymerase I as part of the 45S precursor that also contains 18S and 28S rRNA. Functionally, it is thought that 5.8S rRNA may be involved in ribosome translocation.
Source: Rfam by way of RNAcentral
GACUCUCGGCAACGGAUAUCUCGGCUCUCGCAUCGAUGAAGAACAUAGCGAAAUGCGAUACUUGGUGUGAAUUGCAGAAUCCCGUGAACCAUCGAGUCUUUGAACGCAAGUUGCGCCCCAAGACUUGGUGUGAAUUGCAGAAUCC